AGAGGAUCUCUUUCCUCAGAGUCUCACUCUGACUCCGAGUCUUCAUCCAGCUAUGAGUCCACGAAGAGUCACUGGUCUGUGGAUCAACCCGUUGCCUUUCAAUCAGAACCAAGACCUGCUGAUGAGGGCGUCAGCCAGCAGAGCUCCCAGGUUCUCCAUGGAGGCUCCGCCCCUCA
This is a long non-coding RNA of Salarias fasciatus (jewelled blenny), 176 nucleotides long. RefSeq lists it as uncharacterized. The record is from RefSeq and is a predicted model, not a curated record. NCBI's taxonomy places the organism in Eukaryota, Metazoa, Chordata, Actinopteri, Blenniiformes, Blenniidae. The transcript has 3 exons.